GACGAACGCUGGCGGCGCGCCUAACACAUGCAAGUCGAACGGAGCUGAGAGAAGCUUGCUUUUCUUAGCUUAGUGGCGAACGGGUGAGUAACGCGUGAGUAACCUGCCCUGGAGUGGGGGACAACAGUUGGAAACGACUGCUAAUACCGCAUAAGCCCACGGCCCGGCAUCGGGCUGCGGGAAAAGGAUUUAUUCGCUUCAGGAUGGACUCGCGUCCAAUUAGCUAGUUGGUGAGGUAACGGCCCACCAAGGCGACGAUUGGUAGCCGGACUGAGAGGUUGAACAGCCACAUUGGGACUGAGACACGGCCCAGACUCCUACGGGAGGCAGCAGUGGGGGAUAUUGCACAAUGGGGGAAACCCUGAUGCAGCGACGCCGCGUGGAGGAAGAAGGUUUUCGGAUUGUAAACUCCUGUCGUUAGGGACGAUAAUGACGGUACCUAACAAGAAAGCACCGGCUAACUACGUGCCAGCAGCCGCGGUAAAACGUAGGGUGCAAGCGUUGUCCGGAAUUACUGGGUGUAAAGGGAGCGCAGGCGGACCGGCAAGUUGGAAGUGAAAACUAUGGGCUCAACCCAUAAAUUGCUUUCAAAACUGCUGGCCUUGAGUAGUGCAGAGGUAGGUGGAAUUCCCGGUGUAGCGGUGGAAUGCGUAGAUAUCGGGAGGAACACCAGUGGCGAAGGCGACCUACUGGGCACCAACUGACGCUGAGGCUCGAAAGCAUGGGUAGCAAACAGGAUUAGAUACCCUGGUAGUCCAUGCCGUAAACGAUGAUUACUAGGUGUUGGAGGAUUGACCCCUUCAGUGCCGCAGUUAACACAAUAAGUAAUCCACCUGGGGAGUACGACCGCAAGGUUGAAACUCAAAGGAAUUGACGGGGGCCCGCACAAGCAGUGGAGUAUGUGGUUUAAUUCGAAGCAACGCGAAGAACCUUACCAGGUCUUGACAUCCGAUGCAUAGUGCAGAGAUGCAUGAAGUCCUUCGGGACAUCGAGACAGGUGGUGCAUGGUUGUCGUCAGCUCGUGUCGUGAGAUGUUGGGUUAAGUCCCGCAACGAGCGCAACCCUUAUUGCCAGUUACUACGAAAGAGGACUCUGGCGAGACUGCCGUUGACAAAACGGAGGAAGGUGGGGAUGACGUCAAAUCAUCAUGCCCUUUAUGACCUGGGCUACACACGUACUACAAUGGCGUUUAACAAAGAGAAGCAAGACCGCGAGGUGGAGCAAAAACUCAAAAACAACGUCUCAGUUCAGAUUGCAGGCUGCAACUCGCCUGCAUGAAGUUCGGAAUUGCUAGUAAUCGCGGAUCAGCAUGCCGCGGUGAAUACGUUCCCGGGCUUU
This 1338-nucleotide ribosomal RNA is filed under the name uncultured bacterium. RNAcentral's name for it is "bacterial SSU rRNA". It matches the Rfam family "Bacterial small subunit ribosomal RNA", at positions 28 to 1382 of the family's 1533-position model. The record is from RNAcentral.